Corvus hawaiiensis (hawaiian crow) is the source of this 853-nucleotide long non-coding RNA. RefSeq lists it as uncharacterized. The transcript has 4 exons. The record is from RefSeq and is a predicted model, not a curated record. Lineage: Eukaryota; Metazoa; Chordata; Aves; Passeriformes; Corvidae.
UCCCCACACUACUGUGAGGGUGAUUUCAUAUUCCACAACCCUUUAUAACGUAAUAUUCCUGGAAACACAUGGUGCCUACAGUCUGCUCCAGGCUUGGUGCUCUCAGUGGGCACAAUCUGUAAAGGAUCCUUGAGGACUGAACACAGUAUAGAAAUGUUAGAGCUGAUGAAGAUUUAAUGGUGUACCUCCAACGAAAAGCUUGGGAAUGGGAUGGAGUGUUACCUAUGUCUGGCUUGCAGACAGGAAGGUGACAUAAUUCCUUUGCAACCUCACAGAAAGAGAUCAAAUGAAUUUUUUUGCAGUUGCUGUAGUUUGAUGAAGCCCUUCUGUACUGAAGCAGCCGGCAUCCCUCACAGUGAAAUGUGAUCAGAAGGCAAGUGAACAUGCCUUUAGUUCAUAUCUCAGUCUCUGCCCCUGGUUCCAGGAUGGUCUUGUGGAAGAAAAAUGAUGAUGUUAACGUACUCCUGAUAUAAACUAAUGUUUUGCAAAGGAGCUGGCUCCAUCUGCGAAGGUCGGAACCAUCUCUUGCAGUGCACUGCCCCCUAGCACUGCCGCGCACAUUCCUGCAGGACGGAGAGGAGGAGGACACUUUUCCCGGUCAACAACACCUGCGGGACAUGGCUUUCCGUGGGAAUUUUCACACCAACUAUUGACCCAGCCCGGUCAUGCUUGGCUUGCGGGAUCCGACAAGAUCACAGCAUGAAGUUGUAUGGCUGCUCGUUUUUCCCAUGCAGACAGAGCAUAGAACAGGAAUUCAAAGAGAAGUCUCCUUUCAGUUCCUUCAUUGACUUUCUCUGUUGCUCUGACAUGAUUAUCAAUAUUUUCUCAUAUAAAUAAACACUCAGAAUUCUUG